Molecule: long non-coding RNA, 1033 nt
Filed under: Gossypium barbadense (sea-island cotton)
Lineage: Eukaryota; Viridiplantae; Streptophyta; Magnoliopsida; Malvales; Malvaceae
Description: long non-coding RNA (GBAR_LNC008585)
Source: RNAcentral
ACCAAGAGCCAUUAGAGUUCUUUUGAGCACUUUCAUGAUCACUGUAAUUAGAUGAAAUGGCCAUAAAAGAGAGAAACACAAGAGACAAAGAAACACAGGGAAGGGAGCUGUCGCCUUAUCUGGUGAAGAAGACUGAUGGUCCGAUUUGUCAGCCAUAUUGCAGGCUAAUCCAUGUGACUCUUUGGUGAUGGUAUGUAUAGUUACAAUGAUGUCUGCAAUGCUUAGUGAAACGUUUAACUGGAAUGUAAUAAAAUCCUUUCACGAUAUAAUUGGCUUUCCUCUCAACUAUUGUUCUUAAGUUCAAAUAUUUACACACCUCUGAAACUACAAAACUACAUAUACCAUACCCAUCCACAUAUAAUCUAGUGAUAAAAAAAUUAGAUAGAUGAAAGUUCACAAUGAAUUCGUUUAUUUUUUUUUCCCCUGAGUUUAUUGAAAUAGGAAGGCAUGAGUUCAAAUUCUAUUUAGAAUAUCCUAAGAUAAUUAAAGAAAGGAGCCUACAUCAACUUAUACUUUAUCUAAGUCACCUUGAAGUGACUCUGAUGUUUCACCUGAAGCUGCAUUUUUGGAAUUCAAGGGGCUUGUAAAAUCUCUAAAUGAUAUACAACUUAUUGCAGCUUUAUGUCCCCUUAAAAUUUUUAUUUUGACAUGGUCAAGCAAUCUUAGAGUAUAUUUAUCAUCUUCUUCUCUAGUUCUAAAUAUGGAGUGGCCUGUGGAAUUUGACCUAAAAAAUCUUUCCACUCCUUCACGUUUCUUGUGAUGUUCUUUUGUGGUUGAAGAGCUUUGAGCUUCAUCAGCUUUCUCCUUGUUAUCUUCUUUAAUCUCAAUGCAAACAGCAUUUUGUAGAGGACUUUGAUUUGCCCCAAUUUCAUGCAUGGAAUUACUCUGAAGCAGUACAGGAGAUUUCUCUAACGAUUUCCUAGGCACGUCUAGCUCGCCACGACAAACCGGGCAUGUUUUAUUCGAUUCAAGCCAAAGAUCAACACAUUCUUUAUGGAAAACAUGGAAACAAAUCGUCAAAAGUCGAAGCAUA